GGUGGGGACACGUGUGGAGAGCACAAGCCGGAAAUGGAAAAGCCGGUGCAAGCGAGGUAGGAGUACAGUAGGCAAAUCCGCUGUACAAUCCGAAGACGUGAUGCGGACCGAAUUAAGAGUAGGGAAGUGUGUGAGCCAUGCGUCAAGAAAAGCCGCUAUUGUUUUACUUAAGCCCGUACCGUAAACCGACACAGGUGGAUGAGGAGAGAAUCCUAAGGCCGACGGGAGAAGCAUUGUUAAGGAACUCGGCAAAAUGACUCCGUAACUUCGGGAGAAGGAGUGCCAGCGAGAGCUGGCCGCAGAGAAUUGGCCCAAGCAACUGUUUAGCAAAAACACAGGUCUAUGCAAAACCGUAAGGUGAAGUAUAUGGGCUGACGCCUGCCCGGUGCUGGAAGGUUAAGAGGAGAGGUUAGCGGUAACGCGAAGCUUUGAAUUUAAGCCCCAGUAAACGGCGGCCGUAACGAUAACGGUCCUAAGGUAGCGAAAUUCCUUGUCGGGUAAGUUCCGACCCGCACGAAAGGCGUAAUGAUUUGGGCACUGUCUCAACAAUGCACCCGGUGAAAUUGAAAUACCAGUGAAGAUGCUGGUUACCUGCGCCAGGACGGAAAGACCCCAUGGAGCUUUACUCCAGCUUGAUACUGGGAUUCGGUAUUGCAUGUACAGGAUAGGUGGGAGGCUAGGAAGUGAUAACGCCAGUUGUCACGGAGCCGCUGUUGGGAUACCACCCUUGCAGUAUUGGAUUUCUAACCAGCGACCAUGAACUGGUCGGGGGACAAUGUCAGGUGGGGAGUUUGACUGGGGCGGUCGCCUCCGAAAGGGUAUCGGAGGCGCUCAAAGGUUCCCUCAGAAUGGACGGAAACCAUUCGAAGAGUGCAAAGGCAGAAGGGAGCUUGACUGCGACACCGACGGGUGGAGCAGGUACGAAAGUAGGACUUAGUGAUCCGGUGGUAUAAAGUGGGAUUGCCAUCGCUCAACGGAUAAAAGCUACCCUGGGAUAACAGGCUUAUCACUCCCAAGAGUUCACAUCGACGGAGUGGUUUGGCACCUCGAUGUCGGCUCAUCGCAUCCUGGGGCUGAAGUAGGUCCCAAGGGUUGGGCUGUUCGCCCAUUAAAGCGGUACGCGAGCUGGGUUCAGAACGUCGUGAGACAGUUCGGUCCCUAUCCGGCGUGGGCGUAGGAUAUUUGAGAGGAGCUGUCCUUAGUACGAGAGGACCGGGAUGGACUGGCCGCUGGUGUAUCUGUUGCAUACCAAAUGCAUGGCAGAGUAGCCAAGCCGGGACGGGAUAAACGCUGAAGGCAUCUAAGCGUGAAGCCCCCCUCAAGAUGAGAUAUCCCUACGUAAGUAGUAAGACCCCUUGAAGACGACGAGGUAGAUAGGUCAGAGGUGGAAGUACAGUAAUGUAUGGAGCUGACUGAUACUAAUCGGUCGAGGGCAUGAUCA
This 1441-nucleotide ribosomal RNA is filed under the name metagenome. RNAcentral describes it as "bacterial LSU rRNA". It matches the Rfam family "Bacterial large subunit ribosomal RNA", at positions 1465 to 2925 of the family's 2925-position model. The record is from RNAcentral.